Molecule: long non-coding RNA, 578 nt
Organism: Rhipicephalus microplus (southern cattle tick)
Lineage: Eukaryota; Metazoa; Arthropoda; Arachnida; Ixodida; Ixodidae
Source: RefSeq, a predicted model, not a curated record
CGGAGGAGAGAAAUCGGUUUUUCGUGCCAGUUUCCCGCCAAUUCACAAUUCAAAUCACAAAUUCGCAGCUUUAAUGGUGAAGUGAAUUGCGAUAACGCAGUCCUCGGUCCAGAAAGUUCCGCCACGUGACCCCACGAUUUGAAGCAAAGACACAUAAAACAAACGUGGCCGCAUUCGUGGGAAGGCGCAACGGCCAUAUUGGAAUGGCGGCCGAAUGGGAUCAGACAUCCGAGACGUAGCAAUGGCGGCGACACCAAUGAAAAUGGCGAUUGCCUAACGAGCGUAGCUGGAUCGCAUCCAGAUACACAACCGUCGAAGUUGCCGUAGUUUAAACGAAACCGGAUCGCUUUCGAAGCUCCGCUGGAUAAAAGACGUCAUUGGCUGGCCGGACGCGAAUGCGGUGACACCACUGCCAGGCCUUCACCCGUACCGGCAGCGAUUCCAGGAGCCGUUAGACAGCAAGGAAGCAAGAAACUGAGCGUCGUCAGAUUACUCAUAUAAUUUAUAUACCAUAUAGUCUAAGCGUUCACGGGGAAAAACAGAAAUCUUGGACCUGAUGAAACUUUCAAGGCAGUAAC